UGACAAGCUUCAGAGCCUUCU
RNAcentral lists this non-coding RNA (21 nucleotides) under Arabidopsis thaliana (thale cress). The record is from RNAcentral. Lineage: Eukaryota; Viridiplantae; Streptophyta; Magnoliopsida; Brassicales; Brassicaceae.